UCACGCUGGACACGGGGCUGGGCUCCUCUUCUCCCCCUUGCCGCCGCCAACCGCCCGCAUCCGGUCGCCGCCUCUCCCCGACGCCUCUUCGUCCCUAUCUGCGUCCCCGGCCUCCACCAGGUAAUGGCGCUAGUUCCAGAGGUUGUGUUGGAUUUGUACGAGGGGGUUCCUAAGGAUUGCUUCGUCUCUGGCGUCCCAUUUACGCUGCGAGGCCAUGAGGAUAACGAGGUCAUUCCCGCCUUCGAUACGGUCCCAGGCCCCGAUGGGGUUCCAGCUAAGUGGAUCCGGUUCUGUGAUUAUCUGCCGUUCGUGGAUACCUGCCGGACAUACUGGAUGGACGCAUCAGCUCAUCCUCUCUAUGUGUAUGUCAUGCCAUACACCCCACUGAGGGAUGGCUAUUAUCUGCAUGAGCUUAUACAGGAUGCAGAUCAUCUUCCAGAUGGUAAUUCAGUCAGCGAGGAUCUGGUUGUUCAGCCAAUGGAGGGCCAGGAAAAUGCAGCGGCAGCACCCCAAAUCAAGAAGGGUAUUGUGGAAGUUGCUGCUGGAGCCAGUCUUACAUUCUCUGUGGUCAACUAUAGGCUCCUUUGGUCUAAGGCGCAAAAGUAUAGUAUCCUGUCCUAUGUCAGCAGUCCACUGGAUGAGUGCCUCCGCAGAUUGGAUGCCUGUGCCACCCUGCUGCAUGACAUCGCACCAGCAGUGACUACUCAUGAGCUAGGUAUUGCUGCAGAUAAUGCGAGGCGCCGUCUCGCCCUUGUUCUUGUGGAGAAUUAUGCAGAUGGCAUUUUAGGUGAGCAGACAGCUUAUCCCACCAAAAAUUUACACUGUUCAUUCGGCCGUGAAGGCUUAGCUAAACUCCUUUGACGGAAUGCCGCAACUGCGAGGCGCGAAUUAGCAUGAUCACAGCAUUUUCAUUUGAAGUGUUUCUUUUUCUUUUUUUGCGAGCAAAAGCGUUUUGAUUUGUUUAACACAUAGGUUUUUCUCGUAAGCAUGUCUCGCUCAUAGUAGCCGGAAACGGGGAACGAUGGACCGUCCCUCGAUCCGGAUUCAUGGUCCCGGAAUCAGAUUCGGGAACGAGGAUCGAUUCGGUAAGAUUCGAUGCGGAUUCGGCGUUUCCGCAGCCGGAUCGUUGAUUCAGAUUCGUCGACUCGGCAGUACUGGUUCGUGAAUCGAUUGGAUGAUUUAUGGAUCAACGACACAGCCCAGCCAAUUCUUGUAUAAGUACUCCCUCGUCCCUCUCCCUCCCAGUCCCAGCCAGUUGCUCCCUGCAUCCAGUGACCAGAGGCGCAUGCAGCAGCAGAAAUUCAGAUUCAAAACCAACGAUGCUUCAGAAGACUUGAUUGCUCGAGGAUCCAAGAGUCCAGUGACAUUCAGGCAUUCGGUUUUCAGAUUCAGAGAUUGCGAUGGCGUUUGGGUCGAAACGUAAGUUAGCAGAUCGGAGUGACAUCCAGGAGGAUGACGGUGAUGAUGUUGAUCUCAUCAAUUCCGAUGAUGAGCGUAAUAGCGUUGAUGAACAAGAUGAAUCUGCCGAGCAUGGUACUGCAAAACCUGCUAAAUCCCUUCUAGAUGAGGUAUUUUUUCUUGAUGCACCUAAAGGGAAGAACUCUGGUGGAUCAAGACCCUGGCGAUGCAAACAUUGUGAUAAGAAGUACACGAGUAGUUAUACAAGAAUUCAUCAGCACUUCUUUGGUGUUGGUCCUGGCAAGACGAAACAAAUUGCUCGCUGCUCUGUCGCAAGUGAUCGCGUCAAGUAUAAGAAAAUAUAUGAUAAGUAUUACCAACCUGAGAAAGUACAAGCUUCAGGCUCGGCGCCUAAAAAGCAAUUAGUAGAAGCUUUUGCUGGGGUGGAAAGAGAUGCAGUGGACAUGCAAAUAAUGUUGUUCCUUUGUGCUAAUGGAAUUCCCUUUAAUGUGUUGAGAAGUCCUCAAUACUAUGAAAUGGUAGCAGCCAUCCAGAGAGCACCAAAGGGAUACAAACCUCCUGCAUAUGAGAAGGCUAGGACUACUCUUCUAGAUGCAUGUAAGAGAAAGGUGGAGAAUGAUUUGGCUCCGGUUAGACAAACAUGGUAUUCCCAUGGUGUCUCUGUUGUUUCUGACGGAUGGACAAAUAUGAAGAACCAUCCAUUAAUCAACGUAAUAGCAUCGAAUAGCUGUGGUUCAAUGUUUCUGUACGCAGAAGACUUCUCUGGAGAAGAGAAGACGGGUGAAGCCAUUGCACAAUUCUUACUGCAAGCCAUUGAGGAGAUUGGCCCUUCCAAUGUCCUUCAGGUCAUCACUGAUAAUGCAUCUAAUUGCAGAGUUGCGGGUGAAGAAAUUGAGAAAGUGCAUAAGCAUAUAUUUUGGUCUCCAUGUGUGGUUCACACACUGAAUCUAGUAUUCAAAGAUUUUGCAAAAAAGUUUGCUUGGAUGGUUGAUACAUACCAGACUGGGAAAGCAAUUGUGAAGUUCUUUAGGAACCACCAGCACUUUCAAGAUCUCUUUAGACGCAACUCCAAGUUGGAUCUUUUGAAGGUCUCAAAAACAAGAUUUGCUUCUCAUUAUAUUGUGCUUAAGAGGCUUAUGGAUGUUCGAGAGGCGCUCACAACUACCAUUGUCACAAGCAAAUGGAAGGAACUGGUGAAGGCUUGUGAUGUACAAACAAGAGCAGCAGCAAAUGCGAUUGCCCAAAAUAUCAUUGAUGAGACAUUUUGGGAUGAGAUUAAAAUCAUCCUUGACAUCACAAAACCAUUAUAUAUGGUAAUCAAGUUCAGUGACGGAGAAGGUCCAAAAUCUGGUGAUAUAUAUGAAAGAAUGGACAAUAUGCUUGGCGAGAUGCAAGAAGUCAUGACAAGGGAAGAUAACCCUCACAAAGAUGAUUGGUCGAAGGUAAAUGAAAUUAUUCUUUAUCGGUGGGGAAAGAUGAACUGGCAUUUUCAUUGCUUAGCAUUUGCUCUUUCUCCUAAGUAUUAUGAUCAAGCCUAUCUUGCAAGUCCUGCUCCUGGUGGUGGUCAAAGGAAAGCUCCAAAUGAUGACAGUGAGGUUAUGGAAGGUGUUAUAGAGGCUCUAAAUAGAAUUGCAGAAGAUAAAAAAGAGUAUGCUCUUUUACGUGAGGAGCUUAACACCUUUAUAAUGAAGAAAGGUUUGUAUGCAAUAGACGCCGUUCAGGCUGAUGCAGCCACGAUGAAUGCCACAGAAUGGUGGUUCAAUUAUGGCUCACAAACUCCAACUUUAAGUGAGGUGGCAAAGAAAGUCUUGUCUCAGCCAAUAAGCAGCUCCUCUGCCGAAAGAAAUUGGAGUACCUACUCAUUCAUACAUAAUGUAAAGAGAAACAAGCUGAAUGCAAUGACAGCCGAUAAGCUUGUCUUUAUUCAUGCAAACGAGCGUCUGAAGAGGAGGUUUUCAGAGGGCUACAAUUCAGGUCCACAUUAUAAGUGGGAUGUUGAGCCUGAGAAUGAUUUGCUGGAGGAUUCAAGCUUGAAGCUUGAGCAGCUGCGUUGGGAUAGCUUGGAGGAUGAAGCAGCUGAUGCUGAACCACCACGCAAAAUUCAGAGGACUUGAAACACUAGGAAGUGUCCGGUACAUGGCGCAGAUCCACAUGAUGCUCUCCUUGCCAUGUUUCCAGAAACACACAAUGAAGUUUACCGAGAUCAAUGCCGCUGUCAUCCUGAGCUCUACCCAAUUGAGGGAGACCCUCCCACUGCCACCCUAACAAGGAUUCAGUCAGCUAUGCAUGAUCUGGGAUAUGAAGACCAAGACAUUGAUGAUCAGUUAUCCAUACGCCAAGCAGAGUAUGACCUGAUGAAUGCAGAAGGGGCUGUGGAGUUUCACGACUACAGCACAAAUAUCCAUGCAAGGUUCUUGGAUUCCAGGAACAAAAUUGCCAGCGCCGUCAAUCCUACUCGAGACUAUGUUAGAGAGGCAACUAUGAGCCACUGUCUUAUGGGAGUGCUUGCUCAGUAUGAAGAUGGCAACCCUCAGGAGGCGAAUUGAAACUUGAAAAUGCCAACAAAGAGAAGAGCUAGCAAUCCAUGCGCAAUUGCUGAUUGUUUCCAGAGCGAAUGCAACCAAAGCACUUGCAUACAUCUCUUAACAACAUGUGGGUGGCUGUAUUGAGUCUUAUACUUGCAUCUGAUAGCAUCAUUCGUGGGUCGUGGUUGCAACCCAGUCAUCUGUUAGCAGCAUGUGUAAGGAAUGCCCUGAGUUUUGACAUGACGUGCUAUCACUGCGCACAUCAAGUAGUUACCUAGAGGAAUGAAUAUAAUACGUAUGUAGCAUGGAUAUUGCCCGUUGCCACGGUUGGAUCAAAGGUUAUGUGCAGGAGCACUGUUCCCACAACUAUCUAAACGAACCUGUCUCUGAACUCGGUCGCGUGAGUUAUCUCGACUUCUCGAGUGUCCUGAUUAGCAUGUUUUUGU
This is an RNA transcript of Triticum dicoccoides, 4390 nucleotides long. RefSeq lists it as uncharacterized. The record is from RefSeq and is a predicted model, not a curated record. Lineage: Eukaryota; Viridiplantae; Streptophyta; Magnoliopsida; Poales; Poaceae. The transcript is spliced from 10 exons.